UGUUUACUGGCGUUAUCGCUUGUCGACCCUUUGCCUCCGAAGCCAAAGGUCGCGCGUUCGAGUCGCGCCGGUUGCACCA
This 79-nucleotide transfer RNA is filed under the name Mesoterricola sediminis. Its description in RNAcentral is "tRNA-Arg". The record is from RNAcentral. Lineage: Bacteria; Pseudomonadati; Acidobacteriota; Holophagae; Holophagales; Holophagaceae.